CCUACGGGAGGCAGCAGUGAGGAAUAUUGGUCAAUGGCCGCAGGGCUGAACCAGCCAAGUCGCGUGAGGGAUGACGGUCCUAUGGAUUGUAAACCUCUUUUGUCAGGGAGCAAAGGGCGCCACGUGUGGCGUUUUGCGAGUACCUGAAGAAAAAGCAUCGGCUAACUCCGUGCCAGCAGCCGCGGUAAUACGGGGGAUGCGAGCGUUAUCCGGAUCUAUUGGGUUAAAAGGGUGCGCAGGGGGAAUGGCAAGUCGGCGGUAAAAUUCCGGGGCUCAACCCGGUCGUGCCGUUGAAACUGGGGGGCUUGAGUGAGCGAGAAGUAGGCGGAAUGCGUGGUGUAGCGGUGAAAUGCAUAGAUAUCACGCAGAACUCCGAUGGCGAAGGCAGCAUACCGGAGCGCAACUGACGCUCAUGCACGAAAGCGUGGGUAUCGAACAGGAUUAGAUACCCGGGUAGUC
This 459-nucleotide ribosomal RNA is filed under the name uncultured bacterium. RNAcentral's name for it is "partial 16S ribosomal RNA". It matches the Rfam family "Bacterial small subunit ribosomal RNA", at positions 338 to 795 of the family's 1533-position model. The record is from RNAcentral.